Molecule: long non-coding RNA, 2295 nt
Filed under: Equus caballus (horse)
Lineage: Eukaryota; Metazoa; Chordata; Mammalia; Perissodactyla; Equidae
Description: lncRNA (ENSECAG00000045961.1)
Source: RNAcentral
GGAAAACCUCAUGUCUGGAAAUGGGGGAAGUAAAUCUCUGGGGUCGUUGUGAGGUUCCAGCGAAUCACAAAUGAGACAUUUAGAGGGAGCGGCACAGCCCGCCGUCCAUGUGAGGAAAGACGGCCAGCCCUGGAGUGGACUCAGCGACCCCAGGAGGGACCCAGCGACCACAUUUCUGCUCUCACGCUGCCCCCGGCUUCCUGACCCUGGGCCUUCAUCAGGAACCCCGCCCGGAUGAAGGCCUCUCGCGGCCCCAAGUCUGCGGCUUAUCACUGCUCUCUGGGAUUCAGAGAAAGGCCAGUCUACUGGGUCAGCCUGAGGGUCUCACUAGGACUCCCCAAAUUGAGUAAGCUUCAGGCCUCACAAAACCCAGACCCGCCCCGUCUCCCGUGUGUGCAGCGUUCCGGAAGCUUUGCCUGGAGAGGGUUCCACUGAGAGGGAUCUCAACUGGAUUUGCCUGCCCCCUGCUACAGCUCAGCCACCAAGGCGCAGAACCAGGCCAGCUCUGACACCUCUGUUUUUUCCUCUCUCUCUCUCUCCUCUCCCUACAAACAGAGGGCUUGGGUGAAAAGGAGGGAGCCAAGGCACAACCAGCCCACAGAUGUUGUCCCCAUGGCCCAUCACCUUUACCUCCCCCAUGACCCCACGGAAGUCCCUGCUCUCUGGCAUCAUCUUCCCCUAGGAAGCUUUUUGUCUGCAUAUUUAUUUAUUUGUUUAUUUUCUUAAGGUAUGCUUUUUGGUGAGGAAGGUUGGCCUUGGGCUAACAUCUGUUGCCAAUCUUCCUCCUUUUUUUUUCCCACUCCAAAGCCCCAGUACACAGCUAUAUAUCCUAGCUGUAAGUCAUUCUAGUUCUAUGUGGAAUGCCACCUCAGCAUGGCCUGAUGAGCGGUGCCAUGUCUGCGCCCAGGAUCUGAACCGGCGAAACCCUGGGCUACCAAAGCAGAGCAUGCGAAUUUAACCACUUGGCCCCGGGCUGGCCCCUGCAUGUUUAUUUAUUUGUCUUUUUCUGACACAAAAGGGGUGCUUGUAUCAUGGGGCCCUUCCUUACAGUUUAAACAGAAAGGUAUUUGUUACCGGGGACUGGCCAGCCACCCCUGCUUCUGGAUGGCCCCAAACCCGGCUCCGAUGGGUCUAGCCUCACUGUUGGCGAGGGCCGGGGUGCGGCUCAGCCUCCCCUUGAUGGGACUUCCUUGCCCCAGUGCCUUCGAGGCUGUGCCCACGCGGGCGGCAGCGCUCCAGGACCCCGCUCCGGCAGGUGCCAGCAUCAGCCGGUCAUGCAGAGCCACCCUUAACCCAGGCUCAGACGGCUCCUUCUUCUCAGACGUCAACACCAGCCCACUGGUGAUGUGGGGUGAACUCCCCCAAAAUGGUAUUUUGAAGUCCUAACCCCCAGUACAUCAGAAUGUGACCUCGUUCAGAAAUAAGGUCAUUACUGAUGUCGUUAGUUAAGAUGAGGUUAUACUGGAGCAGGGUGGCCCUACUCCAAUCUGACUGGUGUCCUUAGAAGAAGAGGAGAGAGACGCAGACACACAAGGGGCGAACAUCAUGCGACAACAGAGGCAGAGAGUGGAGCGAAGCAUCUACAAGCCGAGGAUUGCCGAGGACUGCCAACCAGCCAGACGCUGGCGGAGGCAAGGAAGACUCUCCCCCGGUCUCGGAGGGAGCAUGGCUCUGCUGACACAUGGAUUUAAGACUUCUGGCCUCCAGAGCUGCGAGACAAUACAUUUCUGCUGUUUGGAGUCACCCAAUUUGUGGUGCUUUGUUACAGCUGCCCUAGGAAACUAACACAACCGGCCACAGGGAUUCCCCGGAGGAGCUGGGCUGGAGCCUGGAAAAGCACAGGGAGCCACUCCCAGGUAUGCACCCUGGAGAAAUGAAAACACGUGUCUGCACAAAGACCUGUACUGAGCAUUCAUAGCAGCUUUAUUUGUAAUAACUAAAAAAGUGGAAACAACUCAAAUGUCCACCAACUGAUGAACGGAUAAAUAGAUGUGAUAUAUCCACACAAUGGAAUAUUAUUCAGCCAUAAAAAGGAAUGAAGUACAGAUUCGUGCUACAACGUGAAUGAAGCUGGAAAACAUUAUGCCAAGCGAAAGAAGCCCAACACAAAAGGCCCCAGAUUGUAUGACUCCGUUUGUAUGAAGUGUCCAGAAUAGGCGAAUCUGUAGAGACAGAGAGUGGACCAGUGGUUGCCUAGGGCCGGGGGAGGGGGAGUGAGGAGUGACCACUAACGGAUAUGGGGUUUCUUUCUGGGUGUUGAGAACAUUCUGGAAUUGGAUAAUGGUGAUGCUUGUA